UGAAAUUCAAAGUGAAAAUUGUAUAAACCAACUUCCGAAAAUUAAAUUGCUAAGAGUUUGCAAACUAAUCCCAAAAGAACAAAACUAAAACCUUACAAUGGUGUCUAACUCUCAAAAACGGAAAUAACAACUUAUAUUUAUAGUACUAAAGUCUUAAACCAACUAGGAAAACAAAAUAAAAUUGGGCCAGACUCGAACUUGACUGACGGCUUGA
This 214-nucleotide long non-coding RNA is filed under the name Solanum tuberosum (potato). RNAcentral describes it as "long non-coding RNA (STUB_LNC011428)". The record is from RNAcentral. Lineage: Eukaryota; Viridiplantae; Streptophyta; Magnoliopsida; Solanales; Solanaceae.